This 524-nucleotide ribosomal RNA is filed under the name Psilodera fasciata. RNAcentral describes it as "partial 16S ribosomal RNA". The record is from RNAcentral. Lineage: Eukaryota; Metazoa; Arthropoda; Insecta; Diptera; Acroceridae.
AAACAUGUCUUAAUGAGUUAUUUAUAUUAAGUCAAGCCUGCCCAAUGAUGAUUAUUUAAUGGCUGCAGUAAUUUAACUGUACAAAGGUAGCAUAAUAAUUAGUUUUUUAAUUGAGGACUUGUAUGAAAGGUUUCACGAAAUAUUAACUUUAUUAUUUUAAUAAUUAAAAUUUUAUUUUUUAGUAAAAAAGCUAAAAUUUUUAUAUAAGACGAGAAGACCCUAUAGAUUUUUAUAAAAAUGUUGUUGAGUAUUAUUAGUAUUUAGAUUAUUUAUAUUAUAUAUUUAUUUUAUUGGGGUGAUAGUAAAAUUUAAUUAAUUUUUAUAUUAUUAUUACAUUUAUUUAUGGUUAAAUGAUCCAUUUUAUAUGAUAAUUAGAUUAAAUUACCUUAGGGAUAACAGCAUAAUUUAUUUGGAAAGUUCUUAUUAAUAAAGGAGAUUAUGACCUCGAUGUUGGAUUAAAAUUAAUUUUAGGGGCAGAAAUUUAAUAAUUAAGUCUGUUCGACUUAUGAAAUUUUACAUGAUCU